ACAAAUAUCAUCCGCCAGGGACUACGAGCGUUACGUUAAAACCCAAAGGACUUGGCGGUGCUCAAACCCACCUAGAGGAGCCUGUUCUAUAACCGAUAAUCCACGUUAAACCUCACCAUCUCUUGCCUAAACCGCCUAUAUACCGCCGUCGCCAGCUUGCCUCUUGAGAGAUUAAAAGCAAGCCUAAUGGGUAUUACCCAAAACGUCAGGUCGAGGUGUAGCGAAUGAGAUGGAAUGAAAUGGGCUACAUUUUCUGAUACAGAAAAACACGAAAAGUGCCAUGAAAUAAGCACGACUGAAGGUGGAUUUAGCAGUAAAAAGGAAA
Molecule: ribosomal RNA, 325 nt
Filed under: Anguilla rostrata (American eel)
Lineage: Eukaryota; Metazoa; Chordata; Actinopteri; Anguilliformes; Anguillidae
Description: partial 12S ribosomal RNA
Rfam family: Bacterial small subunit ribosomal RNA
Source: RNAcentral